This 208-nucleotide ribosomal RNA is filed under the name uncultured Acidobacteriota bacterium. Its description in RNAcentral is "uncultured Acidobacteria bacterium partial 16S ribosomal RNA". It matches the Rfam family "Bacterial small subunit ribosomal RNA", at positions 568 to 775 of the family's 1533-position model. Lineage: Bacteria; Pseudomonadati; Acidobacteriota. The record is from RNAcentral.
CUCGUAGGCGGCCGACUAAGUCGGACGUGAAAUCCCUCGGCUUAACCGGGGAACUGCGUCCGAUACUGGCAGGCUUGAAUCCGGGAGAGGGAUGCGGAAUUCCAGGUGUAGCGGUGAAAUGCGUAGAUAUCUGGAGGAACACCGGUGGCGAAGGCGGCAUCCUGGACCGGCAUUGACGCUGAGGAGCGAAAGCCAGGGGAGCAAACGG